GAGGGCUCCGCGGUGGGCAGAGCGGCCUGUGGUGAGAUCUGGGAGACGUACCGGCGUGUUUACUCCGCACAGGACAACACUGUCUGGUGGCCGGCCCGCGACCCUCGCCCGCCGGUCACUACCAUUUUCUCCUGUGGAAACCGUAGUUGUGGACAUUAUUUUACAGCUGCACAGCAUUUCGUAGUGUGGAUGCACCAUGAUGAACCCAAUCUCCUGGUUGUGGAUGUUCAGAGAAGAAUCAAGGCCAAGAGUAUGAGCUGGGGAGGCAGACAGACCCAGCUUUGAUUCUGAUGUGGCUGCUGGCUGACCUUGACAAGUUACCUCCUCCUCGCCAUUACACAGUGUUCAUCUGUGCAGAGUGAACGAUGAACUGAACAGGGACUGUUUCUGGGUUUGCAGGAAGAGCCCUGGUGAUCCUGUGUGCAGUGUCCUCAGGCUCAAGGACUGAAGUGUCCUAACAAAGGCACACAGAUAGGAUCGAUGGACUCCAUUAAGUUAGCAGUGAGCGCAGAAGAUUGGAUUGGGUGUGCCGAGAUCACAGUGCAUGAAGAGACAGCAGCACUUUCAUGG
This is a long non-coding RNA of Lepus europaeus (European hare), 570 nucleotides long. RefSeq lists it as uncharacterized. Lineage: Eukaryota; Metazoa; Chordata; Mammalia; Lagomorpha; Leporidae. The record is from RefSeq and is a predicted model, not a curated record. The transcript is spliced from 5 exons.